RNAcentral lists this ribosomal RNA (253 nucleotides) under uncultured bacterium. RNAcentral's name for it is "partial 16S ribosomal RNA". It matches the Rfam family "Bacterial small subunit ribosomal RNA", at positions 524 to 776 of the family's 1533-position model. The record is from RNAcentral.
UACAGAGGGUGCGAGCGUUAAUCGGAAUUACUGGGCGUAAAGCGUGCGUAGACGGCUAUCUAAGUCGGGUGUGAAAGCCCCGGGCUCAACCUGGGAAUUGCAUUCGAGACUGAAUAGCUAGGGUACGGUAGAGGGAAGUGGAAUUUCCGGUGUAGCGGUGAAAUGCGUAGAUAUCGGAAGGAACAUCAGUGGCGAAAGCGGGUCUCUGGGCCGAUACUGACGCUGAGGAGCGAAAGCGUGGGGAGCGAACAGG